RNAcentral lists this long non-coding RNA (286 nucleotides) under Trifolium pratense (red clover). RNAcentral's name for it is "long non-coding RNA (TPRA_LNC010676)". Lineage: Eukaryota; Viridiplantae; Streptophyta; Magnoliopsida; Fabales; Fabaceae. The record is from RNAcentral.
AUAUAUGCCUACUCAAGCCUUGAUGUUCCAUUUCUUGGGCUGAAGUUGACUAACUCUUAUUUGGGCCUAUCCAAUUUAAAAGAUUCAUUACAAUACCCUCCCCUUUAAAAUCAACCUUGUCCUCAAGGUUGUAAAAAUUGCUCACAACACAAAUUUUACCCGGAUCCCAUUGUUUGAAUGGUGACCACAUAACUUCUGUAUAGUUCCUCAAUUGUGCACCAGGAUCCCAUUGAUGCCCAUUUUGCAUUCUCACUGGUUUGGUGUAGUCACAAGGUUCCAGAAUUAU